UGGAGCUGACCGGUACUAAUCGGCCGUGAGGCUUGACCAUCCCUUCUCUGAAGGAAAUGGAUCUUCGCAAUCGUACACUCACCCUAUUCUUCCCUUUUGGGCUGGUGGCUAUGGCGAGGAGGCCACACCCGUUCCCAUCCCGAACACGGCCGUUAAGCUCCUCAGCGCCUAUGGUACUGCGCGGGAAACCGCGUGGAAGAGUCGGUCGCUGCCAGCC
RNAcentral lists this ribosomal RNA (217 nucleotides) under Desulfosoma caldarium. Lineage: Bacteria; Pseudomonadati; Thermodesulfobacteriota; Syntrophobacteria; Syntrophobacterales; Syntrophobacteraceae. The record is from RNAcentral.